RNAcentral lists this ribosomal RNA (497 nucleotides) under uncultured bacterium. RNAcentral describes it as "partial 16S ribosomal RNA". It matches the Rfam family "Bacterial small subunit ribosomal RNA", at positions 28 to 507 of the family's 1533-position model. The record is from RNAcentral.
GAUGAACGCUGGCGGCGUGCCUAAUACAUGCAAGUCGAGCGAACAGAUACGGAGCUUGCUCCUUUGACGUUAGCGGCGGACGGGUGAGUAACACGUGGGUAACCUACCUAUAAGACUGGAAUAACUCCGGGAAACCGGGGCUAAUGCCGGAUAACAUUUAGAACCGCAUGGUUCUAAAGUGAAAGAUGGUUUUGCUAUCACUUAUAGAUGGACCCGCGCCGUAUUAGCUAGUUGGUAAGGUAACGGCUUACCAAGGCAACGAUACGUAGCCGACCUGAGAGGGUGAUCGGCCACACUGGAACUGAGACACGGUCCAGACUCCUACGGGAGGCAGCAGUAGGGAAUCUUCCGCAAUGGGCGAAAGCCUGACGGAGCAACGCCGCGUGAGUGAUGAAGGUCUUCGGAUCGUAAAACUCUGUUAUUAGGGAAGAACAAAUGUGUAAGUAACUAUGCACGUCUUGACGGUACCUAAUCAGAAAGCCACGGCUAACUACGUG